AUGCAGGGGCCGUCCACAGAGCAGUGGGCCCUGCAGGGGAGGAGUCUACGUCAAUCAUCUCUCGUCUUAUUUUGGAUGCUAAUAGACAAGCCUGGCCCUCAUCUUCCCAUGCGCAGCGUGUCCCAACAGCCAGCAGCUGCGAUUGCUCAACAAAAGGUUCGCGACAAUCGCGUCCCAGGCGGUGCGUGCUUCCUGGGUGGCCGCUCCGUCCUGUGGGAGGACCCAGAGAGUGGUGUUCAUGGAAGGACCUCCAGGAGGAAAACCCUGCACUGCAGCGCCGCGGGCGGGGGUUCCCGGGAUGCCCACUAUCUGCGUAUGUACGGUCAGGGCUCUGCUGCCUCCCUCCAAGGUGCGGCGAGACACCCGCCGCAGGACAGCGAGCAGCGAGGUCAUUGCGCCUUUGCAGGGCUGUACCUGGGAAAGCUGGGGCCCCCUCCUGAGGGUUCCCUCCUCAUUUCCUCUCCUUUCCUCCUCCGGCUCCUUCACCACCUGCCUUCUCCCGAGAGACCUCGUUACUACCAGCAGCGUCCUGGGCCUCCCAGAUCUGCCUCAUCUCCCUGCUGCUUAGCUCAUUUCCUCAAAUGCUGCUUCUGUUCCAACAGUCUCGGGGGCCCCUGGAAGUCCUUGAAGACCCUUCUGCACGGCUUUCGGGCCUCCCAAGUUCCGGCCUCAGCCACACCUCGCUGGGUUUUUUUGUGCUGCUGCAAUCCGAGCAAGCAGGAGUCCACCGUGCCGAGAUUUCCUCGUUUCCUAGCAGCUUGGUUGGGUGCUGACUUUGCCUGGUCAGUCGCCUCCUCCUUCCCUGCCGUCUGAAUUUCUCCCCAGCUCGGGAAGAACUCUCCUACCUGCUCCACGGACCACCUCGCUCUCCAUCCACAAUGCCUCUGUACUCUGACCCUCACUGCGGGAUACACGGAGGCCCCCUGGGGCCGCUCCUGUCCAGUAGAAAGAUGAAUUGAGUGACUUGGUGACAUCACGUGCCCUGUAACUGAGUAUAGACUCAUCUCCAGCUAUGUGUCUGCACUCUCCGGCCUGUAUAGGGCUGGGGAAUUAUACAGGACAGGCUUUUUACAAAAUUUAUUUAUUGAAAAGACAGAGAGAAAGAAAAAUGAUCUUCCAUCUGCUGAUCCACUCCCCAAAUGGUCUGAACAGCCGGCGCUGAGCCAGGUCAAAGCCAGGAGACCAGAACUCCAUAUGGGUCCCCCAUGUGGGUGACAGGGGCCCAAGCACUUGGGCCAUCUUCUGCUGCUUUCCCAAGCACGUUAGCAGGGAGCUGGGUCAGAAGUGAAGCAGCUGGGUCUUGAACCAGCACUCCCUUAUGGGAUGGCAGUCAGCCUCACGAGGUGUGGCUUAACCUGCUGGACCAUGGCACCUGCCUCUGAUUUUUUAUUUUUUAAUCUUCACAUUGGUUACUGUCACUAUGCAACAUACCAUCACUAUGCAAAUAUCCUGUCGCUAUGCAAACAUGCUGUCACUAUGCAAACAUACUUGAGUUGGCCAAAAUGACCUCUUAGGACUUCUGCUGUCCUUUUGUUCUGUGGCUCUAAACAAAGCAUACAAGAUGGGACCUCAAUCUUGGGGAACAUGGGAUUUAGUUGGGACUGUGUUCUGCACACUUUUGCAGAGAGAACACAUUUCCCCAAAGCUGCUCUAUCGCAUUAGUAGAUUCUUUGUCAUUAGCUUCCAGGAAUUCCAGUGGUUAAGUUAGGCAUUUAAUGAAUGGACUGCAUGAAUACAUAAAAGUAUUUUUAUUUAUGUCUGAAUGUGUAAGAACCCAAUAAUGUCAGUAGCAAGGAGCUGACAGUGUCUGAGACAUGUGCAGUAGCUCUCAGCUGAUCAGUUUGCAGAACCAUUCAGUUCCUGUUGGCCGAGUGUCUGCCAUGCACUGGGCACUGUGUUGGGCAUCAAGUGCAUUGUGAUGAAGAAGAAAGGCCCACAUCUGCCAUGAGGAGCUUCUGGGCAUCUUUGAGGAAAAAAUCAUGAUACAUUUUAAGAUUGAUUUAUUUAUUUGAAAGGUAGAGUUACAGAGAGGCAGAGACAGGGGCAGAGAGAGAGAGAGAGAGAGGUCUUCCAUCACUUGCCAAAUGGCCACAACAGCCAGAGCCAGGAGCCUGGAGCUUCUUCCAGGUCUCCCACGUGGGUGCAGAGGCCCAAGGACUUGGGCUGCUUUCCCAGGGGCCUUAGCAGGGAGCUGGAUGGGAAGUGGAGCAGCCAAGACUUGAACUGGUGCCCUAUGGGAUGCAGGCACUGCAGGUGGCAGCUUUACCGGCUACACUACAAGCGAACCUUUUUCUAAAGUGCAGAAGAUUGAAGCUUCCCAGUGGGCCAGUCCAUGGUGUACCUAUCACAGGUACACAUUUGCUUCUCAUCUUAUUUCUCCUGCUGGAUUGUAAACUUCUGGAGUGCACAGCUUGUUUCCUGUCUGCGCCUUCCCCCAGUGGCCUGUGUGAUGAGCUUCCCUAACGCUGGGCUCAUAACUCUAUUAGUGCCCUUAUCGUGUAGGUUUAGUGGUGGCUGCAGAUGGGAUCUCCACACCAGCAUGCAUGAUCUCGAGUUGCUCACACGAUCUAGAAAGAAACUGAUAUUAUUGACCUUAUUUAACAUUAAGACCAUGGCAUUCUGGAUGGAACAGGGCUCGGCUCCCCAAACUCAUGCGAUUGUUUGAACUCCAAAGUCUAGUUAAUGAGUCGGCACUAGUGGUUGGUCACUUAGGGUAGAGGCUUCAUCCAACCAUGGCCUGUGAAGCUGGGAACUUUGGAAAAUGGUGGGAUUGGAUUCGUGUUCUAGGUCAAGGCCCCGACGCAAUCACAAUGGCCUUGUAAGGAGAAGCCACUUGGAGGGCACAGGAAGAAUGCGCUUCUUCCCCUUAUCUGCUUCCCGGUUCGCCAGGUGAGCUGGUGCACUGCACUUGCUCCAUCAUUGCCAGUUUCCACCACAUUCCACUCACGGGGCCACCCAGUCUUAGACUGUGGACCUCCCAGCAGAAAGCCAAGCUACACUGUCUGCCCUCCUCAGUGGUUCCUCAUGGAUAUUUAGUGAAGGCAGUACGAGGCUGACUGAUUCACGUGGACUGCACGGCGCCACGUGAUCUGGCCCCAGCCCCAGCUCCUUCCUCCUCCUCUCGGCCCUUGCUCUGCAGCCACCUAGCCCUUGGCUGACCCAGGCAGGAACACUCUUGCUCUAGGGCCCAACCUCUCUGGCUGCCUGCAAUGCUCUUCUCCCAGAUUGCGACCAGACCCCUCUGUCAAGUUCCUGGGAUCUGCGCCCGAGGUGACCUCUCCGGGGAGGGCUUUGCUGACCUGUGGAGAAGAGCAUCUGCCCCCAGCCUGCCCCGCACAGCUCCAGGCUGCUUUCCAGUACUGUCACCUCUCUAUCUGUGCUGCUUAAUUUGUAAUCGCUGUCCGUUAAUAUCUGAAUGCUGUUUGCACUUGGGAAGGACUCUGUGUGUCUGCUUCAGAGCUAGGCCCCUGGUCCCAAGCUCAGCACAAAGUGGAUCUUCAAUAAGUAUUUGUUAGAUAAGUGCAUUUACAUUUUGUAGACAAGAGUUUGGAGCUCAGAAAGAUUAAACCAUUUAUUCGAGGCCAUAGGCGUAGGAAGUGCCAGAGGUGGGAUUUGAACCCGAGUCAUUUGUUGUAACAGCCCUGUGUAUAUUGCUCAUUCUUCCCCCAUUAGCCUCUUAGCUUCUCCACAGCAAGAACAGCUUGUAUUGUAUCUCUGAGCCUAAACGUCGCGUACUGCCUUUUGCAGCGGGAGUCCUGUUCCCCGCCUUGUUCACAGCGCACAUGCAAGUUGAAUGCCGCUGAUGCUUUGCUCAUCUCCUGAAGAUUUCAUACGCUAUGACGGGGCCAGGGUACAAAUGUGCUCUUUCUUUAGAUUUAUUUAUUUAUUUGAAAGUCAGAGUUACACAGGACAGGCAGAGAGAGAGAGAGAGAGAGAGAGAGAGAGAGGUCUUCUAUCCACUGAUUCACUUUCCUAUUGGCCGCCACAGCCGGAGCUGCGCUGAUCUGAAGCCCGGAGCCAGGAGCUUCUUUCUGGUCUCCCACGUGGGUGCAGGGGCCCAAGGACUUGGGCCAUCUUCCACUGCUUUCCCAGGCCAUAGCAGAGAGCUGGAUUGGAAGAGGAGCAGACAGGACUCCAACCAGCGCCCACAUGGGAUGCCAGCACUUCAGGCCAUGGUGUUAACCCACUGCACCACAGCACCAGCCCCUGUGCUGUCUUUAAAAAAAGAACACACGGCAAAUUGAGGGCACACUGAAGUGGCCACAGGACUGAGCACCGGUUCUGAGUGUCCACCAGACAACAGACGCGAUGCUCAAGUUCCUGAGAAUUUGGACGCAGUGAUGCCCAUGAAUUUGGAGGUGUCUGAGUAACAGAAAGAUGAGCUCUCUGGACUCCCAAGGGGAAAAUGACGGUUUGGUAGAAGGCAGGGGUACACUGACCAGCUGACCUGGGGCAGCAACAGUGUAGAACCACUGCCCGGGACCUCCACCGCCCAUAUCAGAGGGCCAGUUCAGGCAGCUACUCCACACUCCCGGGCCAGCUUGUACUGAUGCGCUGGGGAACCAGUAGAAGACGGCCCAAGUGCUUGAGUUCCUGCCACCCACAGUGGACCCCGAACGGAGCUCCUGGCUCCUGACUUUUGCCUGGCUGUUGUGGGCAUGCAGGGAGUGAGUCAGUGGAUGGAAGAUUCUCUCUCUCUCUCUCUCUCUCUCUCUCUCUCUCCCCUCUCCCUCUCCCUCUCCCCCCUCCCUCUCCCUCUCUCUCUCCCCCCUCCCUCUCCCUCUCCCUCUCCCUCUCCCUCUCCCUCUCCCUCUCAAGAUGAAAUUGGAGUCAUUGGGCACGGGGGUAAGCUCUCUCUAGCCAUCUCAUUCCCCUUAGCGACAAAAUAAAUGUGAUAAGUAGUGGC
This 4906-nucleotide long non-coding RNA is filed under the name Oryctolagus cuniculus (rabbit). Its description in RNAcentral is "lncRNA (ENSOCUG00000036550.1)". The record is from RNAcentral. Lineage: Eukaryota; Metazoa; Chordata; Mammalia; Lagomorpha; Leporidae.